GAAAGGGUGCUUCUGCGGAGACCCCGAUAGGUCUUCUUGGUUUUUUUUUUUUUUUUUUUUCUUAAGUCAUUUAGAAAUGUAAAUGACUUAAAGAAAAAGAAAAAAUAAAACCAAUUCAGUGCCAUUUCUGCUUACCUACAGUGCUACACGGUGCCUACAAGCUGCUUGCCAUUAAUCCUCGGAGAAAGCGUACAGAUCGUUUGCUCUGGAGAUCAAGAAACUAGUAAUCCAGGUUAGAGAUCAGAAAGCUGAUGAUACCGUAAGGAUUCUAGAAGCAAUUCACUCAUGUGAUUGCAACAAAAAAUUGUUAGAUAUAUGUCUACCAAAGAUAGAUAUUAUUAUUAACAAGCCAUCAUCGUCUAGUGAACACUAGUACCAGGGUUCCAGUUCCCUAGAGGAAUACAUAAUGACCGAUUUGGUUUCUGAUGAAUAUAUUAGAAACAAACUGUAAGCCCAUUAGUUCGCUAGAGACCCCAAUCAUGAUUGGCCUUAUAGAUCAUAGUUGAAAGAACUACAAAUACCGAAAAAAUUAUAAAUUUUGGAAGAGUAGUAAAAACAACUAUCAACAGUCUCCCAAAAAGAAGAGAUGCUUUAGGAAAAAGAAACCUUUUGCCUAUUGCAGAUGUUGGCUCUGCAACGAAGAAGGACAUUAUGCAAAUGAAUGUCCUAACAGAAGAAGACAAAAGAAUGUAAAAAUUCAUGAACAAAUCAUGGAUAAGGCAUUCAGAUUAAAUUUCAUUCCCAUUGAAUCAGAUUUAAGUGAUAAUGAAUCUGUAUACAGCUAUUAUACAGAAUCAGAGUCAGAAAGUAUGACUUCAAGUCAAUCAUCUUCUUUGAAUUCAGAUAAAUGAAUUUUAAGAUUUUUAUUUCUGCAAAGAAUGUGGAAGAUCUAUAUACGCACAAGGAAUAGCCCAUGUGUGUUAUAGAAAGCAGCAAGCUUUCAAAACUCAGGAAGAAGUUGUUAUUAACAAUAAACCUUCUAUUACUGAUCCCAAUAGUACUAAUUUUGAGAUCGGUAUCAAAUUAAAAGGAUACAAUAAGUAUUAUUUGCAUGCCUAUAUAUAUUGAUACAGGAGCAAGUAUGUGUUUAGCCAAUAAAUACACAUUACCGCCCCAUUUAUGGGAAAAAUUGCCGAUAAUUCUACUAUUGUGUUUGAUUAUUGUUCAAAAAACAUAACCCUUGUGAUUGCAGGUCAUAAGUUUCUUGUAUGUACCAACAAUCUACCGGAGCAGCAUGACAAUGGAUGUGCUUUUAGAAACCCGAAAAAAGCUAAAUGCAAGUGCCGAACGUAACCGGCGUGCAAGCGGCGUGUCCACUCAUUUAAUAAAACGGUGUGUUUUUCUUUUACUUGCUUUUUGUUCUUAACGAUAUGUGUUCCAUUUUCUUAUACAUUUUCCUCUGCAUUUCCUUCUAUCUCUAUCUCUCUCUCUCUCAAUUUCGUUUCCCCUUGCCUCCCUUUAUCUCCGUCUCCGUCGAACCUAUCCUUCUCCCUCUCCAUCUUGUUUCCUCUUCCCUCUUCUUCUCUAUAUCUUAACCCUAAAUCCAUCCCUCUCCAUCUCCAUCUGUCCCCUUCGUAACUCACCUUAAUUCAAAUUAAUAUCUUCAAAAUCUGAAAGGAGCAUCAAGGUUGACCCAUUUCUCUUCGUACAAGCUCCCUGAACGCAAUUUAUCUCUUCGCUAGCAUCCAAUAAUUUUCUACCUCGCUAUCUUCCAAUAGAAUGAAGUGAGAGAAGCACCAAAUUUAUUGCUUUCGAAAAUUAGAAAAAUUUCAUUUGAACUGUGUUUCGAUCAGAUGAGAAUGAGACUGAACCUAUAGAUUGCGCGAAAUUGGUGAGGCAAAGAGAAAGCUGUUUGUUUUGGUGCUGAUGAAUCUGAGUCUACAAAGCACUUUCUGAGUGCCGAACCGAGUUCGGUCCAGCUGAGCUCGUUCCCUUUGCAGAGCCCGAGUGGCCAAAGCUGAGGUGAAACUGCUCUCUGCUACGGAGCCGUUAUAAGUAGCCACCACCGCAAAAGCUGCAAGAGGAGUACGGGUCGAGUCGCUAUGGCCUCAAGAAAACCUCCUCACCAGCUCAGCUUGCAGCAAUUGAGAGAACUGCCUCGCCUUCGCCACCGCCUUCGCCUUAAGCUCUUAAGAGAACUGUCACAGCUUGCUCAAAGAGCUCCUUUUGAUCAAGGCAUUCCUCGAAUGUACAAUAAACUAAGAAAAAUACAUAUCCUCUCUAUAACUUGGAAGAUAAUAUUUUGCCUCCAUUUUUUAUUUUAAUUAAAAUAGUCGCUGAUGUAAUGCUACGUCAGCCUACUCCGGGGCGACUGAAUAUCCCGAAUGUACGUAGCAGCUUUGCAGAAACCCUACAUGAUCCAUGAUUAAUUCUGAUUUGUCAUGGGGCUAAUAAUUGGCAAUUGCGGAGUUUGAUUCAUAGUUUCUACGUUGCUCCAUUUUCCGAUGCACCCAAUACACAUCAUUGAAGUGGUUCCACAAUACUAAAAGGAAAAUGUUGGGACCGAUGAAUUGUACUUCAAAUCGACCGUUACUUAGUUUUCUUUUUUCAAAAAAAUUUAAUAAUUAAAAAACUGUUUAUUAAUAAAUUGGUGUUUUUUCCAAAUAAAUAAAUAAAUGUUUAAAAAAUAAUGAAAAAAAAUUGUAUUCUUAUUGGUCCAACUAUCAGUACUGGUUGCAGGAUCAAUAAUAAAAAAAUAAUAUUAUAAGAUAUAUUUAAACAUAAAUAGAUUAAAAUAUAUAUUUAAAUGUGUAAAACAAAUUAUGAAGAGUUAUUUAUUAUUUAAUUUUUUAGAAGAAGUUGAGCCCAACAUAACCCAUCACAGCCGUGUAACUUCCAGGAAAUUUCUUAAGGAAAAUGAUAGUCUACUUUUUCUUUUCUACCCUUCUACUACCAAGCCUCUACGUGGCUUUAUUUUGCUUUUUAUAUUUCUUCUGCUUUAUCUGAAAUAGGAAAUGUGUUUGAAUUUUAAAUACUGUGCUAAAAGCAGAAGAAAAAUAAAAAGCAAAAUAAAAGCCGAAUUUGCUAGCUGGAUGGCAGGGUCCUUAACUGACCAAGACAUGGCUUUUGUCGGCAAAUAAUUGCAACUUUGGUUUUAAUACCCCACCUAUUAAAACUCUCUUCAAGCUGAAUCCCUGUACCUCACAGUGGUUAAUCAUAAAGAAAUCUUUAUAUAUAAUGGAAGCUAGCUAGCAAUAUUAAAGAUGAAUAAUGCUAGGGACAACCGCCUCAUAUCCUCGGUGCGGCCUCGUGACUGAUGUGGAUAAUAUUAUAUUAAAACAAAGAAGCCCAAAGACUGAAAAGUAGAAACAAAACACGGAGCGGAGGGAGAGGGAAAAUCAUUUUGAAGAAUCCAGACCCACGAACCCACCAAAACCAGAUUUUGAAGAACUUGAUCGCCCUCGCUGAAGUGCCGUCGUCUUCCGUCACUGUCGCUGUCCGGUUGCUGCGGUCGCCGUCGUCUGGGUUCCUUUUGGGUCUUCAUCCAUCGGCAUUUAUUUUUGAACGGUAUUCCUCUAACUUUUGAAGUGAAGUGCAGAGAUCCCCUUCCCAUCAUUGUCAGCCUCUACUUCUACCUUUUAGUUCCCCGGUGUUUAUCAAGGACCUCUUGUGAUGGCUCCUCCUCAGUAUGCCACGGCUCCCGCACCACCUCGAAGAUAAACUGGUUUUCUUGAGGGAUGCCUUGCAGCUUUGUGUUGCUGUUGCCUCUUGGAUGAGUGUUGCUGCGAACCCUCCAUUAUAUUUAUCCCCUAAAACUAUUGCUGUACUUAAUACACAGAAAAUGAGGAGUUCUUUGUAUUCCUUAAAGAUGUAGUCGAAUCACAUAUUCAGUAGUUCUUGUCUUAUUUAGUUUUGAUUUCUAUUAUAUACAAGUUUUUGUAUA
Carya illinoinensis is the source of this 3883-nucleotide long non-coding RNA. RefSeq lists it as uncharacterized. The record is from RefSeq and is a predicted model, not a curated record. NCBI's taxonomy places the organism in Eukaryota, Viridiplantae, Streptophyta, Magnoliopsida, Fagales, Juglandaceae. The transcript is spliced from 4 exons.